GCUGGCAGGAGAUUUCUGAGCCGGACCAAUCAGUGCAAACAAAAAGAGGCCGAUCUGAAUCACAACCCAGCCCAGAUUCCGCUCGACCGGGCAGCGGGGUUCUGUCUGAGCCACCAGUAAAUAAGGUAACAGCGGAUCUGGGCAGAGGGGGCGGUGACAUUUUAACCAAAACAGGGCGGGCCCCUACCAAACCAAAACCGGGGCCCACAGGCCGGUGCCCGAAAAAAAUCCCGCUGCAUCCGAGGCUCUUUCUCCUCGUCCUUCCGCCUGAUUUUAAUACAAUGGCCGCCGCCGCCGCUUAUUUACGGCCUUUACCUUUCCAUGCUCUUCUCGGAGCCGUGAAAGAGUCAGUGGCUGGGUUGGGGCGGUUUGCCGGCGGCGGCACAAGGCCGAUGCUGCGAGUCUGCCAUUUCCUCCUGAGCCGGAGGCCGAGCGUGUGUUUGACAAACACUCAGGAACUGGGAGUCCUAAAGAAAUGUUUAUGCAUGUGAUAACUACAGCUGCACAACUCCUCACUCCGCGUCCGCAUAGAGAGAGCAGGUCUUGUCAUCCACACUGUCGGAGCGGAAAAUAUUUCACACUCGCAUCAUUCACCCAAGAAGCUCGAAACGCAGCUUUCUUUUUCCUCGACGACACCGCUCGGUCUUAGCAAGACCCACCGCCCCACGCCAUCUUGCUUCGGGACGGUCCGGAGCGCAGCACGUGACACAGGAGGCGGGGUAGAGGCCUGGCACGUGACAGCGACGUACAUUACAUGUUGUGACAUUACACCGGGGGGGCGGAGCGCGAGCACCACACGUGACACGACCGCGGACUGUGGAGACCGUGACCAGUCACCACCAAUGUUCAAAACAGCCGUACGACUCGGAAGGUAAACAGAGUGUCUGACAGCUGAAAAUACCACGAGUGACAGGAUGCACGUUAAGCACUGAGCCUGCUCUACCACUGACUACGAUCAUGGCUGACUGUGGAUCUCAACUCCAUCUUUUCAAAACAACGACUGAACACUUGUUAGGGUGAAGAAUCUGAUACAUAUUUACCAGAGAAUAAAAUUACCAAAAUUGUUAUCAGGGAACAUCUGUUUAUAAAAUUAAAAGAUUAAAUAUGUAAAAAUAAAGGCAUUGGUCCUGAUGGGCUGAACGAAUUUCUCAAA
This is a long non-coding RNA of Stegostoma tigrinum, 1153 nucleotides long. RefSeq lists it as uncharacterized. NCBI's taxonomy places the organism in Eukaryota, Metazoa, Chordata, Chondrichthyes, Orectolobiformes, Stegostomatidae. The transcript is spliced from 2 exons. The record is from RefSeq and is a predicted model, not a curated record.